CCUACGGGAGGCAGCAGUGAGGAAUCUUGCACAAUGGGGGAAACCCUGAUGCAGCGACGCCGCGUGAGCGAUGAAGCCCUUCGGGGUGUAAAGCUCUUUCGGCAGGGACGAACACUGACGGUACCUGCGGAAGAAGCUGCGGCUAACUACGUGCCAGCAGCCGCGGUAAUACGUAGGCAGCAAGCGUUGUUCGGAGUUACUGGGCGUAAAGCGUGCGUAGGCGGUUUCGCAAGUCCGGUGUGAAAUCUCCCGGCUCAACCGGGAGGGUGCGCCGGAAACUGCGAGGCUGGAGUGCGGGAGAGGAGAGCGGAAUUCCUGAUGUAGCGGUGAAAUGCGUAGAUAUCAGGAGGAGCACCGGUGGUGAAGACGGCUCUCUGGACCGUGACUGACGCUGAGGCACGAAAGCGUGGGGAGCAAACAGGAUUAGAUACCCUGGUAGU
This 440-nucleotide ribosomal RNA is filed under the name uncultured Bryobacterales bacterium. RNAcentral describes it as "partial 16S ribosomal RNA". It matches the Rfam family "Bacterial small subunit ribosomal RNA", at positions 338 to 794 of the family's 1533-position model. The record is from RNAcentral. Lineage: Bacteria; Pseudomonadati; Acidobacteriota; Terriglobia; Bryobacterales.